GACGAACGCUGGCGGCGUGCCUAAUACAUGCAAGUCGAACGCAGUGGGGACGGGUGAGUAACACGGGGGUAACCUCCCAGCAGAGGGGAUAACACUUGGAAACAGGUGCUAAACCGAUACUGAUGGAUGGACCCGCGGUGCAUUAGCUAGGUGGUGAGGCGACGGCUCACCAAGGCCACGAUGCAUAGCCUGCCCUAGAGGGGGAUCGGCCCAAACGUGACGGAGACAAGGGCCAGGCUCCUACGGGGGGCAGCAGUAGGGAAUCUUCGGCAAUGGACGGAAGUCUGACCGAGCAACGCCGGGUGAGGGGAGAAGGUUUUCGGAUCGUAAAGCUCUGUUAUUUGGGAAGCGGUACCUAACCAGUAAGGGACGGCUAACUACGUGCCAGCAGCCGCGGUAAUUC
RNAcentral lists this ribosomal RNA (403 nucleotides) under uncultured bacterium. RNAcentral's name for it is "partial 16S ribosomal RNA". It matches the Rfam family "Bacterial small subunit ribosomal RNA", at positions 28 to 526 of the family's 1533-position model. The record is from RNAcentral.